GAUGAACGCUGGCGGCGUGCCUAAUACAUGCAAGUCGAGCGAACAGACGAGGAGCUUGCUCCUCUGACGUUAGCGGCGGACGGGUGAGUAACACGUGGAUAACCUACCUAUAAGACUGGGAUAACUUCGGGAAACCGGAGCUAAUACCGGAGAAUAUAUUGAACCGGAUGGUUCAAUAGUGACAGACGGUUUUGCUGUCACUUAUAGCUGGAUCCGCGCCGCAUUAGCGAGUUGGUAAGGUAACGGCUUACCAAGGCAACGAUGCGUUGCCGACCUGAGAGGCGCAUCGGCGACACUGGAGCUGAGGCACGGUCCAGACGCCUACGGGGGGCCGCAGUAUGGAACCUUCCGCAAUGGGGGAAAGCCUGACGGAGCAACGCCGAGUGAGUGAUGAAGGUCUUCGCAUCGUAACACUCUGUUAUUAGGGAAGACCAAAUGUGUAAGUAACUAUGCACGUCUUGACGGUACCUAAUCAGAAAGCCACGGCUAACUACGUG
This 497-nucleotide ribosomal RNA is filed under the name uncultured bacterium. RNAcentral's name for it is "partial 16S ribosomal RNA". It matches the Rfam family "Bacterial small subunit ribosomal RNA", at positions 28 to 507 of the family's 1533-position model. The record is from RNAcentral.